Molecule: ribosomal RNA, 460 nt
Filed under: uncultured bacterium
Lineage: Bacteria
Description: partial 16S ribosomal RNA
Rfam family: Bacterial small subunit ribosomal RNA
Source: RNAcentral
CCUACGGGUGGCAGCAGUGAGGAAUAUUGGUCAAUGGGCGCGAGCCUGAACCAGCCAAGUAGCGUGCAGGAUGACGGCCCUACGGGUUGUAAACCUCUUUUGCCCGGGAGCAACGGGCGCCACGUGUGGCGCCUCUGAGAUUACCCGGAGAAAAAGCAUCGGCUAACCCCGUCCAACCACCCGCGGUAAUAGGAAGGUUGCGAGGGUUAUCCGAUUUUAGUGGGUUUAAAGGGUGCGUAGGCGGGUCGUUAAGUCGGUGGUCAAAUUGGGGGGUCCAACGUCUUCCCGCCAUUGAAACUGGCGCUCUUGAGUGGAAGAGAAGUAUGCGGAAUGCGUGGUGUAGCGGGGAAAUGCAUAGAUAUCACGAAGAACCCCGAUUGCGAAGGCAGCAUGCGGGCUUCCGACUGACGCUGAAGCACGAAGGCGUGGGGAUCGAACAGGAUUAGAUACCCGUGUAGUC